CUGGUAGGUGGCUUGUUAAGUCGCUUGUGAAAGCUCCAGGCUCAACCUGGAAAGUGCGGGCGAAACUGGCGAGCUUGAGUACCGGAGAGGGUCGCGGAAUUCCCAGUGUAGAGGUGAAAUUCGUAGAUAUUGGGAGGAACACCAGAGGCGAAGGCGGCGACCUGGAAGGAAACUGACACUGAGCAGCGAAAGCGUGGGGAGCAAACAGGAUUAGAUACCCUGGUAGUCCACGCCGUAACCGAUGGGUGCUAGCUGUGGCGGGAGUUGACCCCUGCCGUGGCGACGCUAACGCAAUAAGCACCCCGCCUGGGAAGUACGGCCGCAAGGCUAAA
This 332-nucleotide ribosomal RNA is filed under the name uncultured bacterium. RNAcentral's name for it is "bacterial SSU rRNA". It matches the Rfam family "Bacterial small subunit ribosomal RNA", at positions 568 to 898 of the family's 1533-position model. The record is from RNAcentral.